UUCAUCUGGUUGCUCUUUAAAGAUUUACAAAUCUUUUGCUUUUUACUAAAGAUUUCCAUGGAGAAGAACAUUUAUGAAGAAGUGGUUUUGUCAGUGGGCCUGGGGACUACA
Molecule: small nuclear RNA, 111 nt
Organism: Pseudonaja textilis
Lineage: Eukaryota; Metazoa; Chordata; Lepidosauria; Squamata; Elapidae
Gene: U5
Rfam family: U5 spliceosomal RNA
About the family: U5 RNA is a component of both types of known spliceosome. The precise function of this molecule is unknown, though it is known that the 5' loop is required for splice site selection and p220 binding, and that both the 3' stem-loop and the Sm site are important for Sm protein binding and cap methylation.
Source: Ensembl